CAUUAGACGUGGGCGGCAGCCCUGAGCAGCCAUGCCGCGUGUAGUGAAGAAGGCCUUCGGGUUGUAAAGCUCUUUUGUCCGGGAAGAAAGGGCGGCUCUUACACAGUCCGGUAAUGACGGUACCUGAAGAAUAAGCACCGGCUAACUACGUGCCCACAGCCGCGGUAAUACCUAGGGGGCAAGCGUUAAUCGGAAUUACUGGGCGUAAAGCGUGCGCCGGCGGUUAUACAAAACAGGCGUGAAAUCCCCGGGCUUAACCUGGGAAUGGCCCCUGUGACUGGGUAGCUUAAGUGUGUCAAAGGGGGGUAAAAUUUCACGUGUAACCGUGAAAUGCGUAAAUAUGUGGAGGAAUACCCAUGGGCAAGGCCCCCCCUGGGAUAACACUGACGCUCAUGCACCAAA
This 402-nucleotide ribosomal RNA is filed under the name uncultured bacterium. RNAcentral describes it as "bacterial SSU rRNA". It matches the Rfam family "Bacterial small subunit ribosomal RNA", at positions 359 to 758 of the family's 1533-position model. The record is from RNAcentral.